Molecule: ribosomal RNA, 376 nt
Filed under: uncultured organism
Description: partial 16S ribosomal RNA
Rfam family: Bacterial small subunit ribosomal RNA
Source: RNAcentral
GUAGAUGGCAAGCGUUGUCCGGGAAUUAUUGGGGCGUAAAGCGCGCGCAGGCGGUUCUUUAAGUCUGAUGUGAAAGCCCACGGGCUCAACCGUGGAGGGUCAUUGGAAACUGGAGAACUUGAGUACAGAAGAGGAAAGCGGAAUUCCACGUGUAGCGGUGAAAUGCGUAGAGAUGUGGAGGAACACCAGUGGCGAAGGCGGCUUUCUGGUCUGUAACUGACGCUGAGGCGCGAAAGCGUGGGGAGCAAACAGGAUUAGAUACCCUGGUAGUCCACGCCGUAAACGAUGAGUGCUAAGUGUUAGGGGGUUUCCGCCCCUUAGUGCUGCAGCUAACGCAUUAAGCACUCCGCCUGGGGAGUACGGCCGCAAAGGCUGA